CAAAGGCUGCGAUUGGGUAUUUCUAGAUUGGAGGAGAGUAAAGCUAUAGAAUGGUGCGAGUUUCAAUUUGGGUGUUAGAAGAAGAAGAAGGAGAUGAACGAAGGAGAAUGGGAGUUUGAUUUUGCUGCUGUUGAAACUGAACAGUGGGAAGGCAAAGGGAGGAAGAUUUCAGAAGUGAAGGGUUUCCAUUCGGUCUGUUCAGUAUCUAUGGUUGUUUUCCAAUUGACCUAUUUUGUGGUUAGAGGACCUAUUUUGUACCAGGUGAAAGUCUUACCAAAAGAAGUUACCAACUAUAUGUUGAUUUUGUUAAACUCUACCUUUAUCGAGAGUGUAAUCAUACUCUGAAACUUCUAAAUGUGUGUUGGAUUAUAUAUAUGUUUGGGUGUUUAAACUUGUAUAUUGUAUAUAUGCAGAGAUUGCAAGCAUGCUGAUAUCACUGUAGGAAAAAUUUAGAAAGUAAAGUUCCAGAUAUUGCAAAAUCUGGAUUUACAUCGGCAUGGUUGCCGCCAUCAACUCAUUCCUUUGCCCCGGAAGGUUAUCUCCCUCAGAACAUAUAUUCCCUCAAUUCUAAAUAUGGAUCUGAGCACCAAUUAAAAGGUUUACUACAAAAAAUUGGUUUACCUCCC
Molecule: long non-coding RNA, 626 nt
Organism: Rosa chinensis
Lineage: Eukaryota; Viridiplantae; Streptophyta; Magnoliopsida; Rosales; Rosaceae
Exons: 3
Source: RefSeq, a predicted model, not a curated record